Molecule: ribosomal RNA, 497 nt
Filed under: uncultured bacterium
Lineage: Bacteria
Description: partial 16S ribosomal RNA
Rfam family: Bacterial small subunit ribosomal RNA
Source: RNAcentral
GAUGAACGCUGGCGGCGUGCCUAAUACAUGCAAGUCGAGCGAACGGACGAGAAGCUUGCUUCUCUGAUGUUAGCGGCGGACGGGUGAGUAACACGUGGAUAACCUACCUAUAAGACUGGGAUAACUUCGGGAAACCGGAGCUAAUACCGGAUGAUAUUUUGAACCGCAUGGUUCAAAAGUGAAAGACGGUCUUGCUGUCACUUAUAGAUGGAUCCGCGCUGCAUUAGCUAGUUGGUAAGGUAACGGCUUACCAAGGCAACGAUGCAUAGCCGACCUGAGAGAGUGAUCGGCCACACUGGAACUGAGACAGGGUCCAGACUCCUGCGGGAGGCAGCAGUAGGGAAUCUUCCGCAAGGGGCGAAAGCCUGACGGAGCAACGCCGCGUGAGUGAUGAAGGUCUUCGGAUCGUAAAGCUCUGUUAUUAGGGAAGAACAUAUGUGUAAGUAACUGUGCACAUCUUGACGGUACCUAAUCAGAAAGCCACGGCUAACUACGUG